UCUCUCUCUCUCUCUCUCUCUCUCUCUCUACCCCUCCCCUGCUUGCUCUCUACCUUUCUCUCUCAAGAAUAAAUGAAUAAACAUUAAAACAAAAUCCUUAAAAGAGAUUCUCAAUAAAUACGUGAAACAUAUAGUUCUGGUAACAAAGACCAAUUAACCACCUGCUUUGUGCCUAGAGCGCUAGCUGCCAGCAAUUCAAAAUACAUAAGACAGGGUCUCAGGGUCUCAUCACCGAGGCCUUAACACCAGGUGGCACAUCACCCAGCUUGUUGGGGCAGCAAAUGUAACACUGAGCACAGCUAACAUGGCAGGGACCCGCCGGAAAUGUGUACCACUUUACGCUCUACAGAGGCCUUUCACGCUGCUUAUUGGAGCCUCACAGUAUUCUUGGUUAGUAAAUUAAACAGGUAUUUCUCCGUGGCACAGAUGAAUAAAGCCAAGACACCCAAGUUUCAGGUGCACUCAGAAGGUCUGACCCCCACCCCCCAGCGUAGGGCCCUUUUGAUAGCAGCUUCUGCCUCUCAGCUCUGAAUGUCCUCUUCAAUAGCUGCUCCGAAAAUAAUGGUUGGAAUCCCUUUAAGGUCUUCUUUACAGUGAUCACAGGUUAAGCUUUCUUGGUGGAGGCCGCUGGAGGAACAGAGCAGGAGGAAGAGGCUUCUCCUGUGGGUUCUGCCAGCGGCCCCAUCAGUCACGCCUGUGAACGUGAAGACAUCUGGUGGCGCUCUGCCCCAGCCAGAGGCCCAGGGUACUCAGUCCCCUAGUGACCCUGCAGUGCUGCCCUCACACUUCCCCACGGUUCUUUCAACACAGACACUGCAUGCGGUAGGUCCUCUGCCCAAAUUGUGACCUUCAGCCUCUCCACAUGCCCGCUCACGCGAGCCAUGGCUCCCUCUGCUCAUACGCCCCUUCCCCCUCAGGUCUGCCCUCACGACAUGGACACCAGGUGCGCCAUGCCUCCUCGAAACAUCUGGUCACUGGCUGUGGCUUACCUACCUCUCAGAAGGUUGCUUCCUGCUCUCCCAGGAACUGUGGACCAGCUCUGGCCUGGCCCAUCCCACACACUUCUCUUCCAUCCGACAGACUUCAACUCUACCUUCUUCAACCAGAUGCAUGGCAGACCGGAGGAGUUCAGUCUCCACAACGUUUACCGAGGACGUGCUAGGUGCCAGGCCUUGGGGCAGACACAGAAGACAUGAUCCCGACAAGACAGGCUGGCUCCUCCAGCAGCUUUUGUUCUGAAACAGACUGUUGGAGGGACCGUUCUGGACUGGCUUCAAAGCAGCUCAGCCCAAGAACAAUGUGACAGUGUCUGGCCCCGGGCGUUCUAGAAGCUGCUGUGUGGCAUUCACCCUGGGAUGGCCUGGAGAUGCGGGAUAGCAGUUUAGGGGAAUGCAUUCAUUUUCAACUGCAGGAGAAAGAAUAACUCCAGAGAACUACAACGUUAUGCUGAGCCAAAUUAGCAGUGAAAUUGAAGAGCAGGAUAAAAUGACUGACAUGCAAGGGUUCAGCCCCCACAGAUCCUCUCUGAGAAGAUACACUUGAGUGUUUCUAGCAAGAAGAAAAGCGACCCUAAGAAAGUGAUCAAGUCACAGGAAGGUGGUACCUUGCAUCCUAUGGGGACGGAGACUGAAUACUUCAGUUUCAGAACAGGACGAGGUUCAUGUGACAGAAGGAAGCGCCCAUGAAUCAGCUGUCCAGACUCCUUUUAGGUGAACCGGAACCCCCACAGCCACAGCCUCUCAAGUGGAGAUUUUAAAGCAGUAACGUCCAAGCACUCAGACAGGAUGCUCUUCAACCACGGAAUUCUCGGGUGACCUUUCCGUAGGAAUCACAUGCAAAUGUCCCAGUGGAAGGUCGUGAUUGGUCUUCAAAGGUCAUCUCCAUUCGUCUAGACGGUUGUCUUCACAAAAGAAGGAAGUUCAGGACCCAGCCCAAGAUCUGGUUCAACGCAAGUUCUCCGCAGAUGCCCGCUUAAUUUCUGGACUGCAGUAGAAGUACAGAGUGGGUUGAAAACUUGCAGAAGGAUCAGAGUUUGUGGGGAUGGUCUCUGGACUUGACCAAGCACCUUCUAGUGGCAGUGAACGAUGGGGUUCUUGGGCAAACGGCUAAGAAAGAAUUCUUGAGAUGUCUUUGGUGCAAAAAGCGAACACAACACACAAGGAUGAGAAUGGAUGUACUGCGCUGGGAUUGCUGUUUCUUCCACAGGUGGGGGUGAGGAACACGGAAGUUCACCCCUCUCUUGCGUUGGCAAGCUCUGAACAUGACCCAGGGCGGCAGGUUCUGCCAAGUCCUGGCCCCAGUGUGCACACAGCUCUCGGCACAGGGAACCCACUUCUCCCGCGGGUCACCCGUGGGGUCAAGGUAAUGAGAGACGGAAGCAGGUUCCAUUUCCCCUCCUGGUUCCAGAUGUCAUGUGACCCUCCCCUCACCCCUGCAGGGUCUAGUUCAUUCUUGCUGUCACCUGCAUCCGGCUUUCUUCUCCACGAUGGCUGACCUAUAGUAACUGCACCUGGAGGUGAGACACAGAAGCAGCAGCCUGCAGGGACUGCAUGGCCAGCAUAGCCUGCGGUCUCCAUUGCAGAAGGUCUAGCCCCCGUAAACGCUACAAAUCCUCCCUUGGUAAAUUACCCCCAGAGGUUCUCCUUCUCUGAUCAGACCCCACCUGAUCCAGUGGGUACAGCUGAUCACACAUGCAGACCCUCACAAUUGCAGGUACAGUGGUAGCCACACCUCGCGUCUAAGAGUUCACGUGCAACGAGGCAGCAUGGACCCUGCCAAUCCCCAUCUCAGAGGCUGUGGCGCCCACCACGCCUUUUCUCUCCUGGGCUGUUGAGGUUGGGACUGGGGUUAACGCAGAGGUGGUGGGACUUGUGCACGUGACCACAACUGGAGGAAGAGCGUGCUCAAAGGGAAGUGGACAGGAUGAAGGUUGCCAUGCAAAACCUUGCUGUGACUGGCGGCGAGAGGGGCAGUGCUUUCGUUUUGGGGCAGCAGGUUGUUGCCUGGUGUCUGUGAACUGGUAGUGGGGAGGGAUCCCAGGGAAUCCCAUGCUGCAGAUUCUGAGGGAUGCAUUUGCCUUCAAAGCAGCAACAGCAGCUGUACCCGGUCCUUGAAUGGUGCUGCGCAGGGGCCAGCUGGGGCCGCAAGCGUUUACAUAGGAGUGGCCCCUUGGGAGGCAGCACUGGAGAGUGGGGCCGAUCACAGCCCUCCGGAGCAGCUAGGCUGCAUGGAUCCGAGGCAGGCUGAGAAAAGGAAAAACAUCCAAAAUGGAAGUAAAAUAUGCAACCAUGUAUAUGUUCACAGGAGGAAAACAUAGGGAUGGGGAGAAAGGAGAGAAGUGGAAACAGUGAACCUCCCAAGACGCCCUGUUACGGAGAGAUAAAAUGAAACCUCCUGUCUGUCACCAGAAUGCCAUAAUUUUAUCAUUCUUCCCACGCAAUGCUGUGCUAUUUUGGGUUCUGGGGUUCCCCCCCACCUCUGUGUGCCCAAGAUGUCUGAGAAACAAACGUGUAAGAAAAUGUUUUAUUCUCCCCAGCAAGGGAUGGAGAAUUCAUUACAGGAAGCGCAUCUCCGAGCUGCCUCCUCCGUGUCAUCAUGCUCUGCCCUGCAGAAGAUUUCGUCUGCGAGCAGAAGCCUAAUGAAUUUGCCCACUGUGGUCCUGUGCCCAGAAACUGAAAUCCUGUUGCGCUUCACUGGUGGGAUCCUUUUCCUCAGCCACGGAGCCAAGCAGAACGGAAAAGAUGGCCAGCCUCCCUUUUGCAAAGACAAUGCGUCUCCCCUCCCCCUUACACACCAUGCCAGUGAUUUCUACAUUCUGCUGGGUCUAAUUUCCUUUGUAAAAGGAAAAAGGAAAAAAAAAACCCACAACAAGACAAAACAAAACAAAAGAAAGAAACUUGGAACUCUUUUGAGGACAAGGAAGGAGAAGCUGGAGGAAGGGGAAGCAUUUGAUGUCACCUGAUUACCAUCUGUUCACCAAGUUAGAUAUUACAUCAAAGGAACAAUCGAGAGCCUGUAUAAACCAGGACGCUGAUGGUCGUCCUUGUACGUGUUGUGCCUCCCUUCUUGGCCUUUCCAGCCAGGCUUCCUCUGUCUCAGGACGGCUACGGCCUUCAUCACCUGUGCACCUCUUCCCACUCUGGAUGAGGUCAGAGCUGCAGGCUGGGCCCCAGGAAGGUCCUGGGUGGGGUCCCCUCCAUACCUCCGUGGUCGGGGCAAGCUUUCCUUGGUGGAGGUCACUCUGCCCAGAGCCCGGAGGCUGGGACAGCCCUGUACAGAGCCCACCGGAGGCUGUGUUGUUUCCAGAAUGGUAUUUUCAGCAGCAGAGCAAGCCAGGAAACUUAAGGAAAGAAGCUGCCAUUCAUCUCCAGGAGGACACAGGACAGGGCAGUAGACUGGUCACCAGCCAGCCCGAACAGCCAUCUGCUAAGAUCAAGUCAUUUCUCCUUGGAACACGAUGACACUUCAGCCUAAGAAGGGAACUGAGCCAGUUUGAGACCUCGGCUUGGGCCCGUUCCAGCUCUGAUAAUAAAAAGUUAUGUUUUCCUCAGAGGGGUCCGUAGUGACAGGGAGAGGACUACUGCCAGGUGCCCUCAGACCUCCCCAUUUCUCCUUGCACCCCCAGACAGAUGCUCUUAUAUCCUGCCAUUUAUAUGCUAUUCUGUGAAAGAGUCAGACCAAAGUGAGCCCUACAGUGCUUGGAAGAUUUAUUUUGCAAUAUAAAAUGCACCUCCUCUCUGUAAACCACACGACUCUCCUUUAACUCUUUACCUGGAUGUUUUGCCAUUUCUGUGCAAGCUGGGUGUUUCUCUGUCGCUUCUAAGACCGCAUCAUGUCUACCCAGAGAUCUCUGAUCGGUCCACUUUUUCCAAGUUCAUCCAUUCUUAAAGUUGAGCACAAAUGCUAUCUCCUCUAUGAGGCCUUGGCUGAGAUCCCAGAGUUCCUGCUUCCCACCCAAGGUGAUCUUCUUUCUAGAUUCCCAUAGAAUUCCCCUAUUUAUGGCAGACUAAAUUUUAAGGAUCCCAUUCAUUUCUGCAUCACUUAAUGGUUGUCUAAGUACAUAGUACAGUGGUUAAGUAUGUGGAUUCUGGAGGCAGAUUUUCUGGGUGCACAGCUGGGCUUACGUAUUCACUGUGUGACCUGGGGCAAAUCAUUUAACCUGUCUGUGUACCAGUUUGUAAGAUGAGGAUAAUAACUAACUAUCACGUAUGACUGUUGUACAAAUUAAAUGAGCAAAUCUCUGCUGAGUGUGUAGAACUGGGACUAGCAAGGCCCAGCAAAGUUGGUUGUGUUUAUUAAUAUGAUUUAUUAUUAUUAUUUUUCCUUUAAGUUUCCUGAUGGCAGGGGUCCAUCUUGUCUAACUUUCUACUCUACCACAGUGUUUUGCAUAUUGAUACAUGUUUAUUUACUUUGCGUAUCGAUGCACAUUUAUUUAUAAAUAAAUAGAUGUCCAAUGAA
Felis catus (domestic cat) is the source of this 5457-nucleotide RNA transcript. RefSeq lists it as uncharacterized. The record is from RefSeq and is a predicted model, not a curated record. The transcript has 8 exons. Lineage: Eukaryota; Metazoa; Chordata; Mammalia; Carnivora; Felidae.